Phragmites australis (common reed) is the source of this 2497-nucleotide long non-coding RNA. RefSeq lists it as uncharacterized. NCBI's taxonomy places the organism in Eukaryota, Viridiplantae, Streptophyta, Magnoliopsida, Poales, Poaceae. The transcript is spliced from 3 exons. The record is from RefSeq and is a predicted model, not a curated record.
ACAAACAAUAUAGAUGUCUCUAUUAGGAUCAAGGGCGUCUGAAUCCAAUAGAGACGCGGUAUAUCAAAUUGGACAAGAUAAUCAUAUUAUUGCCAUAUUUGUUGGAACCCUAUGGAAAAGUUAUAGAGGCCAAACACCCCUUCUAAGUAGAUCAUCAGCAUGUCGGUGGUACAUCAAGGAAGAAAAUAUUCCAGAUAUCAAAAAUUUCUAUGCAUGGUAAUAAGAAAAAUGUUACCAAGUAAUAUAUCCAACUUACAAUGUAAUCUUUAUAAUUAUAACUGCUGACAUUAUUUUUUUCUAAUUUUAGUCUACUUGAUGAAAUUGAUCCAGUGGAGAAGCUGCAGCUAACUAAUGACCAGAGUAUCCAACCACAAGUUAAACAAGCUACUCUUGUACAGCUGAAAGAUAUUGAUCCAUUCGAAGAGAUGGUACAAACUGUGUCUAAUGGGAAGUGACGAAACUUAUGGACUCGAAUUUGUUCUAUUUGACCAAAGAGUCAGCAACUAAUUGUAAAACCUUGUUAGAAACUUUUGGCUCUUUACCACCGAUUCGAUAUACCUCCUGAUAUAUCAGCACUGAUUGGUCACAAAUAUACCUUCAGUGUCAAGAUUUCAGCCAAAAAAAAGUAUCGAUGAUGAUAAGCCAUCAUUUGAAGUUAUAUAUAUCAAAGAACUGUUUGGAAGACAGCCAAGAAUACCAACAGCUCGACAAAGUGAUAAUAUUAGGACUUUACCACUAGCAUCAAGAUCAUCUUCUACUAAAAAAAAUCAACCAAACAAGUUGAGAUACAGGUUGCAUUAAUCUGCCUUAUUCAAUAUUAUCUUGCAAUUUAUAAUAUACAAUUACUAUUCAAAUAACUAAAUUUAUGUACAGGAAAGCUCCAACAGCUUAUCUCAUUUGCAUAUUGAUGAUGAUAGCAUGGAAAUUGAGCAGAAACAGUAAGAGCUCCUACGACCAUAUAUAACAAAACUAAGAUUAUAAAUCUCAGCAUUACUGACCUAUUCUUUAAUAUUGUACUCGAAUGAAAUCAAAACGCAAGGUAUCCAGCUUCAUCAGAUACAACUACAAGAGACCCUGUGCAUCUACAACAGCAGAGUCACAGAUAAUUUUUUUCCUCUUUAGUUUUGAUGGCUCUAUAAUCAUUGGAAACCUAAUUGUACAAGAGACUCAUCAUAAAGACUAUCCAAUUUUCUCAUGUAGCACAAUUAUCAUAGAUAGUGAGAUUGAUCUGUAUGGUUGUUAGGACCUCAUGAUUUCAUUAUCUAACACCAUACACAAAUUAUUAGGGUGACCAAAAUGAAGAUGACCCGGAAACAAAAUCAGAAAGAAGAGCUCUGGCCACACCAAAAAGCCUAAGCAGCAAUAAGUUUCAUUCAGACUUUGAACAAGCUGCAGAAUCAUGUGAUUCUUAGAUAUUGAAGACAUCUAUAGGAUAACACUUGGUUUUUUGUGUUAGUUCCACUUAAUUACUAUGCAUACUUUAAGAUGUUGAUGUCUCUGGUGUUACCUCAUUUUGGACCAUGGUGGACAUACUUUACAGCUAAUGUAAAGCUCUAAUAGUUCUGCCUUUUGGUACGGCUAAACGACCUCAAUCUUGUGUAUAUUUUAUCACAACUAAUGUAAACCUCUAAUAGUUCUGGCUCUUGGUAUGGCUAGAUGACCUCAAUCCUAUGUAUAUUUUACUGAACUACCUACAAGACUAAAGUUAAAGAUGAGUCUGGCACAACUUGUAAGCUAUCUACCUCUGUAUGUAGUUAUCUCUACCUUUUGCGUAUGUAAUAAAAGUUAUUAUACAAUCUAUUAAAAAGUUUGUAAAAGAAACAGUAUUUCCUCCUCUUUUGUCAGUGACUGGCCACCCUGCGUGCUAACGGCGCGCUAUUUUCUACUGACAUCUGACACAAGCUUAUCAGAGUACAGGAGUUACCCACAUAAGCAUGUGCUUCAUCACCCAUAUCUAGUAUCCGUCUAAAUCUUAUCCAUUAGAGCACCAGUCUGUAGUCAUCCUUGACUGGAACCCCCACCGUCCGACCAUCCUCGCCCGCCGCCUGUCCAUGGUAUUCCCCUCCAUCUCUUCUUUCUCCCCUCCAUGCUCCUUCUCUUCUUUCUCCCCUCUCCCAUGCUUAGCGGUGGGUGCAUCUUGAGACAUGGGUAUGCAAAAGUGCAUCCAAUUUUUUUUUAAAAAAGUUGACUAUAUAUUAUAUGUAAUAGUUGUUGAUAUCAAUAGUUUUUAAAAUUUAAUAAUUAUGUGUUAUAUUUCGACUCAACAGACCAUCAAUACUUUCUUAAGUCUUUUCUCACUAUCACACUUCACCAUCUUAAAGCAUAAUUAGUUCCCGGUAGAGUAAAAGCAUAUCGGAUUUGGACAGAUAAUGCUCUUACCAUAUUCGAAUCCAUUUUUUUUGUUGGAUUCAGAGUUAGAAGCGGAUAUUACAGAUAUGGAUUGUUUUGGAGUUGGAGUCAGACCAUAAACGGGCUAAAAUAGUUGGAUAUUACUCGC